Molecule: ribosomal RNA, 253 nt
Filed under: uncultured bacterium
Lineage: Bacteria
Description: partial 16S ribosomal RNA
Rfam family: Bacterial small subunit ribosomal RNA
Source: RNAcentral
UACGUAGGGUGCGAGCGUUAUUCGGAUUCACUGGGCGUAAAGGGUGCGCAGGCGGUUGGGUGUGUCAGAUGUGAAAUCCCGAGGCUUAACCUCGGAACUGCGUCUGAAACUACUCGACUAGAGUACUGGAGAGGGAAACGGAAUUCACGGUGUAGCAGUGAAAUGCGUAGAUAUCGUGAGGAACACCAGAGGCGAAGGCGGUUUCCUGGACAGUUACUGACGCUCAGGCACGAAAGCAUGGGGAGCAAAAGGG